GCCGGGCGCGGUGGCCGGCGCCUGUAAUCCCAGCACUUUGGGAGGCUGAGGUGGGUGGAUCACUUGAGGCCAGGAGUUCAAGACCAGCCCGGCCAACAUGGUGAAACCCCAUCUCUA
This 117-nucleotide small RNA is filed under the name Papio anubis (olive baboon). RNAcentral describes it as "Metazoan signal recognition particle RNA (ENSPANG00000037597.1)". Lineage: Eukaryota; Metazoa; Chordata; Mammalia; Primates; Cercopithecidae. The record is from Rfam by way of RNAcentral.